Molecule: ribosomal RNA, 470 nt
Filed under: uncultured eukaryote
Lineage: Eukaryota
Description: bacterial SSU rRNA
Rfam family: Eukaryotic small subunit ribosomal RNA
Source: RNAcentral
AGUAAUUCUAGGGCUAAUACAUGAACUAAAAGAGGAGCAACUUAGAAGUGUUUCUCUGUAUUUAUUAGACUGAAAACUGGUACAGUAGCAAUACUGGCCCCUGGUUGAACCAUAAUAACUCUAUUACGAAUCGUAUGACCUCUGCGUCGACGAUGAAUCGUUCAAGUUUCUGACCUAUCAAUUCAAGAAGGUAGUGUAUUGGACCACCUUGAUUGUAACGGGUACGGAGAAUUAGGGUUCGAUUCCGGAGAGGGAGCCUGAGAAACGGCUACCACUUCCAAGGAAGGCAGCAGGCGCGCAAAAUUACCCCAAUCUCAACACGAGGAGGUAGUGAAUAAAAAUAACAAUCCAGAGCUUGAUAAAAGUUUUGGAAUUGGAAUGAGAACAAUGUAAAUACCUUAACGAGGAACAAUUGGAGGGCAAGUCUGGUGCCAGCAGCCGCGGUAAUUCCAGCUCCAAUAGCGUAUGCU